This is a non-coding RNA of Cercophora newfieldiana, 92 nucleotides long. The record is from the annotation of a GenBank genome assembly. Lineage: Eukaryota; Fungi; Ascomycota; Sordariomycetes; Sordariales; Lasiosphaeriaceae.
UCCCUCGUGGCGCAAUUGGCUAGCGCGUCAGACUGUUAUUUCUCGGUGAAAUAGGUAUCUGGAGGCUGUAAGUUCGACCCUUACCGAGGGAG